AGUGAACGCUGGCGGUAGGCCUAACACAUGCAAGUCGAACGGCAGCACAGUAAGAGCUUGCUCUUACGGGUGGCGAGUGGCGGACGGGUGAGGAAUACAUCGGAAUCUACUUUUUCGUGGGGGAUAACGUAGGGAAACUUACGCUAAUACCGCAUACGACCUACGGGUGAAAGCAGGGGAUCUUCGGACCUUGCGCGAUUGAAUGAGCCGAUGUCGGAUUAGCUAGUUGGCGGGGUAAAGGCCCACCAAGGCGACGAUCCGUAGCUGGUCUGAGAGGAGGAUGAGCCACAGUGGAACUGAGACACGGUCCAGACUCCUACGGGAGGCAGCAGUGGGGAAGAUUGGACAAUGGGCGCAAGCCUGAUCCAGCCAUACCGCGUGGGUGAAGAAGGCCUUCGGGUGGUAAAGCCCUUUUGUUGGGAAAGAAAAGCAGCAGGUUAAGACCCCGCUGUUCUGACGGUACCCAAAGAAUAAACACCGGCUAACUUCGU
Molecule: ribosomal RNA, 491 nt
Filed under: uncultured bacterium
Lineage: Bacteria
Description: partial 16S ribosomal RNA
Rfam family: Bacterial small subunit ribosomal RNA
Source: RNAcentral